AUCUCAUAACUCUGUGGAAAAGACUUCCUGCAAAGUCAUGCUAAAGCGAGAAGCAUUGUCCAUAACUCCUUUCUCCCCCCUUAAGUUAGUUUAGGUCCAGUUUUGUAUUACUUCAAAACAAAACAGCUGUAGCUGAAACACUGAACUUUUUAGUUUCUCCUCUAAACCCAUCCCAACUCCCUACAUUUGUUUGUUGUUAAAGUGGCAUGACUAUUGUUUUGGUCUUAGGAUAAGUUAACUGCCAAAACAAAUGACUCCAAAAAGUGAGUGGCUUACCACAGUAAGCCAUGGAAAGCUUCCGUGGUGUUCCUGUUUUGUGGGCAGGCCUCCACGUAGCCAUUCAGGAACCCAGGCUCCUUCAGUCUUGUGGAUAUGGCCUCCUCUUCAGCCUCAGCAACCUCUUCAUCAGGAGAAUGGGGGAGGAGAGCAGAGAAGCAUGUGUGGGAGGGUGUCAUGUACCCGGCGUGGAUGGGGAGCACAUUACUUCUGUUCACAAUCUUUGCUCAGAACUCAAUUAUAUGGUACAUCCAACCUCAUGGGAGGCUGGAAGAAGUGUCCUUGCUGUGGGCCCAGGAAGGAGCAGGAACUAAAGCGAGAUGAAGAAACUGAGGCAUCCAGAGAGGCAAAGUUGCCUAAGAUCCUGGCUGGUUAGUGUCAGAAUCAGAACCUACACCUCUUGACUCUUAGUGCUGGUCUCCUUUCCUCCCAGCUGCCUCCUCUAUAUUCUAGCUUGCUUUUGGUCUCUGGUACACUGUGUAAGAGAUAAUAAACACUACAGGGCACAA
This is a non-coding RNA of Macaca mulatta (Rhesus monkey), 785 nucleotides long. The record is from RefSeq and is a predicted model, not a curated record. NCBI's taxonomy places the organism in Eukaryota, Metazoa, Chordata, Mammalia, Primates, Cercopithecidae.